RNAcentral lists this ribosomal RNA (421 nucleotides) under uncultured Cytophaga sp. RNAcentral's name for it is "bacterial SSU rRNA". It matches the Rfam family "Bacterial small subunit ribosomal RNA", at positions 355 to 774 of the family's 1533-position model. The record is from RNAcentral. Lineage: Bacteria; Pseudomonadati; Bacteroidota; Cytophagia; Cytophagales; Cytophagaceae.
UAGGGAAUAUUGGUCAAUGGGCGCAAGCCUGAACCAGCCAUGCCGCGUGCAGGAAGACGGCCCUCUGGGUUGUAAACUGCUUUUGAUAGGGAACAAAUGCCACUUGCGAGUGGAGCUGAGUGUACCUAUAGAAUAAGCACCGGCUAACUCCGUGCCAGCAGCCGCGGUAAUACGGAGGGUGCAAGCGUUGUCCGGAUUUAUUGGGUUUAAAGGGUGCGUAGGCGGCCUAAUAAGUCAGUGGUGAAAGCCUCCAGCUUAACUGGAGAACUGCCAUUGAUACUGUUAGGCUUGAGUAUACUUGAGGUAGGCGGAAUUGACAGUGUAGCGGUGAAAUGCAUAGAUAUUGUCAAGAACACCAAUUGCGAAGGCAGCUUACUAAAUUAUAACUGACGCUGAGGCACGAAAGUGUGGGUAUCAAACA